AUCUGGCUCAGAUUGACGCUGGCGGCAGGCCUAACACAUGCAAGUCGAGCGGAAACGAUGGAAGCUUGCUUCCAGGCGUCGAGCGGCGGACGGGUGAGUAAUGCAUAGGAAUCUGCCCGGUAGUGGGGGAUAACCUGGGGAAACCCAGGCUAAUACCGCAUACGUCCUACGGGAGAAAGCAGGGGAUCUUCGGACCUUGCGCUAUCGGAUGAGCCUAUGUCGGAUUAGCUAGUUGGUGAGGUAAUGGCUCACCAAGGCCGCGAUCCGUAGCUGGUCUGAGAGGAUGAUCAGCCACAUCGGGACUGAGACACGGCCCGAACUCCUACGGGAGGCAGCAGUGGGGAAUAUUGGACAAUGGGCGAAAGCCUGAUCCAGCCAUGCCGCGUGUGUGAAGAAGGCUUUCGGGUUGUAAAGCACUUUCAGUGGGGAAGAAAUCCUCGGGGCCAAUACCCUCGAGGGAGGACAUCACCCACAGAAGAAGCACCGGCUAACUCCGUGCCAGCAGCCGCGGUAAUACGGAGGGUGCGAGCGUUAAUCGGAAUUACUGGGCGUAAAGCGCGCGUAGGCGGCUUGAUAAGCCGGUUGUGAAAGCCCCGGGCUCAACCUGGGAACGGCAUCCGGAACUGUCAGGCUAGAGUGCAGGAGAGGAAGGUAGAAUUCCCGGUGUAGCGGUGAAAUGCGUAGAGAUCGGGAGGAAUACCAGUGGCGAAGGCGGCCUUCUGGACUGACACUGACGCUGAGGUGCGAAAGCGUGGGUAGCAAACAGGAUUAGAUACCCUGGUAGUCCACGCCGUAAACGAUGUCGACUAGCCGUUGGGGUCCUUGUGACCUUUGUGGCGCAGUUAACGCGAUAAGUCGACCGCCUGGGGAGUACGGCCGCAAGGUUAAAACUCAAAUGAAUUGACGGGGGCCCGCACAAGCGGUGGAGCAUGUGGUUUAAUUCGAUGCAACGCGAAGAACCUUACCUACUCUUGACAUCGUGCGAACUUUCCAGAGAUGGAUUGGUGCCUUCGGGAACGCACAGACAGGUGCUGCAUGGCCGUCGUCAGCUCGUGUUGUGAAAUGUUGGGUUAAGUCCCGUAACGAGCGCAACCCUUGUCCCUAUUUGCCAGCACGUAAUGGUGGGAACUCUAGGGAGACUGCCGGUGACAAACCGGAGGAAGGUGGGGACGACGUCAGGUCAUCAUGGCCCUUACGAGUAGGGCUACACACGUGCUACAAUGGCCGGUACAAAGGGUUGCGAAGCCGCGAGGUGGAGCUAAUCCCGAAAAGCCGGUCUCAGUCCGGAUCGGAGUCUGCAACUCGACUCCGUGAAGUCGGAAUCGCUAGUAAUCGUGAAUCAGAAUGUCACGGUGAAUACGUUCCCGGGCCUUGUACACACCGCCCGUCACACCAUGGGAGUGGACUGCACCAGAAGUGGUUAGCCUAACUUCGGAGGGCGAUCACCACGGUGUGGUUCAUGACUGGGGUGAAGUCGUACA
This 1481-nucleotide ribosomal RNA is filed under the name Halomonas sp. RNAcentral's name for it is "bacterial SSU rRNA". It matches the Rfam family "Bacterial small subunit ribosomal RNA". Lineage: Bacteria; Pseudomonadati; Pseudomonadota; Gammaproteobacteria; Oceanospirillales; Halomonadaceae. The record is from RNAcentral.